AAGCUCGUAGUUGAAUUUCGAAUGUGGCUGGGCGGUCCGCCUCACGGUGUGCACUGUCUGGCUGUGUUCUCUUUCUUGGUGAGCCGGCAUGCCCUUUACUGGGUGUGUUGGGGAACCAGGACGUUUACCUUGAGAAAAUUAGAGUGUUCAAAGCAGGCCUACGCCCGAAUACAUUAGCAUAGCAUAAUAAAAUAGGACGUGCGGUUCUAUUUUGUUGGUUUCUAGAGCCGCAGUAAUGAUUAAUAGGGAUAGUUGG
RNAcentral lists this ribosomal RNA (256 nucleotides) under uncultured Basidiomycota. RNAcentral describes it as "partial 18S ribosomal RNA". It matches the Rfam family "Eukaryotic small subunit ribosomal RNA", at positions 624 to 885 of the family's 1831-position model. The record is from RNAcentral. Lineage: Eukaryota; Fungi; Basidiomycota.